GCUGUAUUUUCCGUGGUUAGAGUGCUGGGCUAGGACCUGAGAGAUCGGGGUUCGAAUCCCCCCUUGGCCA
Podarcis lilfordi (Lilford's wall lizard) is the source of this 70-nucleotide non-coding RNA. The record is from the annotation of a GenBank genome assembly. Lineage: Eukaryota; Metazoa; Chordata; Lepidosauria; Squamata; Lacertidae.